RNAcentral lists this ribosomal RNA (388 nucleotides) under uncultured bacterium. RNAcentral's name for it is "bacterial SSU rRNA". It matches the Rfam family "Bacterial small subunit ribosomal RNA", at positions 28 to 419 of the family's 1533-position model. The record is from RNAcentral.
GACGAAUGCUGGCGGCGUGCUUAACACAUGCAAGUCGAGCGGUAAGGCCCUUUCGGGGUACACGAGCGGCGAACGGGUGAGUAACACGUGGGUGACCUGCCCUCAGCUCUGGGAUAAGCCUGGGAAACCGGGUCUAAUACUGGAUAUGACUCCAUGACGCAUGUUGUGGGGUGGAAAGCCUUGUGCGGCUGAGGAUGGGCCCGCGGCCUAUCAGCUUGUUGGUGGGGUGAUGGCCUACCAAGGCGACGACGGUAGCCGGCCUGAGAGGCGACCGGCCACACUGGGACUGAGACACGGCCCAGGACUCCUACGGGAGGCAGCAGUGGGGAAUCUUGCGCAAUGGGCGAAAGCCUGACGCAGCGACGCCGCGUGAGGGAUGACGGCCUGG